CCCUUAGAUGUCCUGGGCCGCACGCGCGUUACACUGAUGCAUUCAACGAGCUUAUAACCUUGGCCGGGAGGCCUGGGCGAUCUUGUUAACGUGCAUCGUGAUAGGGAUAGAUUAUUGAAAUUAUUAAUCUUGAACGAGGAAUUCCUAGUAAACGCAGAUCAUCAAUCUGCAUUGAUUACGUCCCUGCCCUUUGUACACACCGCCCGUCGCACCUACCGAUUGGAUGGUCCGGUGAAGCCUCGGGAUUGUGGUUCUUGCCGCUUUAUUGUGGCGUGACCGCGAGAACUUGUCUAAACCUUAUCAUCUAGAGGAAGGUGAAGUCGUAACA
RNAcentral lists this ribosomal RNA (328 nucleotides) under uncultured eukaryote. Its description in RNAcentral is "partial 18S ribosomal RNA". It matches the Rfam family "Eukaryotic small subunit ribosomal RNA", at positions 1470 to 1796 of the family's 1831-position model. The record is from RNAcentral.